RNAcentral lists this transfer RNA (74 nucleotides) under Gemmatimonadota bacterium. RNAcentral's name for it is "Gemmatimonadetes bacterium (beach sand metagenome) tRNA-Ile". It matches the Rfam family "tRNA". Rfam says of the family: Transfer RNA (tRNA) molecules are approximately 80 nucleotides in length. Their secondary structure includes four short double-helical elements and three loops (D, anti-codon, and T loops). RNAcentral also lists the same sequence under 1 other name. The record is from RNAcentral. Lineage: Bacteria; Pseudomonadati; Gemmatimonadota.
GGGCCCGUAGCUCAGGUGGUUAGAGCAGUCGACUCAUAAUCGAACGGUCGUAGGUUCAAGUCCUACCGGGCCCA